This is a long non-coding RNA of Fundulus heteroclitus (mummichog), 590 nucleotides long. RefSeq lists it as uncharacterized. NCBI's taxonomy places the organism in Eukaryota, Metazoa, Chordata, Actinopteri, Cyprinodontiformes, Fundulidae. The transcript has 3 exons. The record is from RefSeq and is a predicted model, not a curated record.
AAUAUAUCGGGUAAGAUUCUGUAUAAAUUAAAAUUAUUUGUUGAUCUAUGACAGACAUACGUGUGUCAGGACUCAGUCAGCAGGGCUGUGCAGCUCCCUGCCAGUCCUGCUAUUUUUCCUUCACAGGUGUUCGUGGUUGACUGGUGGGCGGAGACGCACACCUGCGACUCAUCCAGCAGCACCCGAGUGGACUACAAGAACAGCGUUCGAACAGCGAGAGGACGCCAGAGUGUUUUCGUUGCGGUUACCUUCUCGAGCUCCAAGAUCCCCUUCGUGACUCUCCAGUUCCUCCGACCUCCUUCCGAGUCGAAACCGCUCUUCUGGAUCCAAGGCUCACUCCAACGUCCUCCGGUUCCUCUCGCUGUUCUGGAUCUCGGUACCCACGGUGCUGCUCGGACCUCCUCGCCCCGCUCACCGGCGACCCGGACAUCUGCCAUCAACAUCUAAGCUGAGUCCACACGCACACCAACCUCCCCGGCCGUGUUCUCUCGCACCUCGUGAUCGAUCCGGUUCCCUGGUCCCGAGCCCGUCCGAGCCGUCUCCUCGUUCCGCAGAUAGUUCUGCCGUCUGUACCCACCUGAGUCAAUAAA